GCUACCAUGCAGUCGAACGGUGAAGCAGAGCUUGCUCUGUGGAUCAGUGGCGAACGGGUGAGUAACACGUGAGCAACCUGCCCCUGACUCUGGGAUAAGCGCUGGAAACGGCGUCUAAUACUGGAUACGAACAAGAAUCGCAUGGUUACUUGUUGGAAAGAUUUUUUGGUUGGGGAUGGGCUCGCGGCCUAUCAGCUUGUUGGUGAGGUAAUGGCUCACCAAGGCGUCGACGGGUAGCCGGCCUGAGAGGGUGACCGGCCACACUGGGACUGAGACACGGCCCAGACUCCUACGGGAGGCAGCAGUGGGGAAUAUUGCACAAUGGGCGGAAGCCUGAUGCAGCAACGCCGCGUGAGGGAUGACGGCCUUCGGGUUGUAAACCUCUUUUAGCAGGGAAGAAGCGAAANGUGACGGUACCUGCAGAAAAAGCGCCGGCUAACUACGUGCCAGCAGCCGCGGUAAUACGUAGGGCGCAAGCGUUAUCCGGAAUUAUUGGGCGUAAAGAGCUCGUAGGCGGUUUGUCGCGUCUGCUGUGAAAUCCCGAGGCUCAACCUCGGGCCUGCAGUGGGUACGGGCAGACUAGAGUGCGGUAGGGGAGAUUGGAAUUCCUGGUGUAGCGGUGGAAUGCGCAGAUAUCAGGAGGAACACCGAUGGCGAAGGCAGAUCUCUGGGCCGUAACUGACGCUGAGGAGCGAAAGGGUGGGGAGCAAACAGGCUUAGAUACCCUGGUAGUCCACCCCGUAAACGUUGGGAACUAGUUGUGGGGUCCAUUCCACGGAUUCCGUGACGCAGCUAACGCAUUAAGUUCCCCGCCUGGGGAGUACGGCCGCAAGGCUAAAACUCAAAGGAAUUGACGGGGACCCGCACAAGCGGCGGAGCAUGCGGAUUAAUUCGAUGCAACGCGAAGAACCUUACCAAGGCUUGACAUAUACGAGAACGGGCCAGAAAUGGUCAACUCUUUGGACACUCGUAAACAGGUGGUGCAUGGUUGUCGUCASCUCGUGUCGUGAGAUGUUGGGUUAAGUCCCGCAACGAGCGCAACCCUCGUUCUAUGUUGCCAGCACGUAAUGGUGGGAACUCAUGGGAUACUGCCGGGGUCAACUCGGAGGAAGGUGGGGAUGACGUCAAAUCAUCAUGCCCCUUAUGUCUUGGGCUUCACGCAUGCUACAAUGGCCGGUACAAAGGGCUGCAAUACCGCGAGGUGGAGCGAAUCCCAAAAAGCCGGUCCCAGUUCGGAUUGAGGUCUGCAACUCGACCUCAUGAAGUCGGAGUCGCUAGUAAUCGCAGAUCAGCAACGCUGCGGUGAAUACGUUCCCGGGUCUUGUACACACCGCCCGUCAAGUCAUGAAAGUCGGUAACACCUGAAGCCGGUGGCCUAACCCUUGUGAGGAGCCUC
This 1396-nucleotide ribosomal RNA is filed under the name bacterium. Its description in RNAcentral is "bacterial SSU rRNA". The record is from RNAcentral.